This 371-nucleotide ribosomal RNA is filed under the name uncultured organism. RNAcentral's name for it is "bacterial SSU rRNA". It matches the Rfam family "Bacterial small subunit ribosomal RNA", at positions 526 to 896 of the family's 1533-position model. The record is from RNAcentral.
CAGAGGUUGCAAGCGUUAAUCGGAUUUACUGGGCGUAAAGCGUGUGUAGGUGGUUGUCCAAGUCGGUUGUGAAAUCCCCGGGCUCAACCUGGGAACUGCUUCCGAGACUGAACGACUAGAGAUCGGUAGAGGGCGGUGGAAUUUCCGGUGUAGCGGUGAAAUGCGUAGAUAUCGGAAGGAACACCAAUGGCGAAGGCAGCCGCCUGGGCCUGAUCUGACACUGAGACACGAAAGCGUGGGGAUCAAACAGGAUUAGAUACCCUGGUAGUCCACGCCGUAAACGAUGGGUACUUGACGUCGGUACGCUCUGCGUAUCGGUGUCGCAGCUAACGCGAUAAGUACCCCGCCUGGGGGGUACGGCCGCAAGGUUG